Molecule: long non-coding RNA, 560 nt
Filed under: Homo sapiens (human)
Lineage: Eukaryota; Metazoa; Chordata; Mammalia; Primates; Hominidae
Description: non-protein coding lnc-NABP1-5:1
Source: RNAcentral
AAAAGAAUAAAAGCAGGCUGCCCGAGCCGGCAGUGGCAAGCUGCUGGGCUUCCCUUCCACAUUGUGGAAGCUUUGUUCUUUUGCUCUUUGCGAUAAAUCUUGCCCCUGCUCACUCUUUGGGUCCACACUGCCUUUAUGAGCUGUAACGCCACGAAGGUCUGCAGCUUCACGAACCCAUCGGGAGGAACGAACAAUUCCAGACGCGCUGCCUUAAGAGCUGUAACACUCACCGCGAAGGUCCGCAGCUUCGCUCCUGAGCCAGCGAGACCACGAACCCACCAGAAGGAAGAAACUCCGAACACAUCCCAACAUCAGAAGAAACAAACUCCAAACACAUCCGAACAUCAGAAGGAACAAACUCCAGACGCGCCACCUUAAGAGCUGUAACACCGCGAGGGUCCGCGGCUUUAUUCUUGAAGUCAGUGAGACCAAGAACCCACCAGUUCCGGACACAAUACUUUUCACACUGCAUGAUGAAGAAAUUUAGCUUUAUUGUUAGGGAAUUCCUGAAGAUUCUGAAAUUGUGAACUGACAAGCCCAUGGAUGUCUACAAAGAGUGA